AACGCACAUUGCGCUCUCUGGUAUUCCGGAGAGCAUGCUUGUUUGAGUAUCAGUAAACUCCCUCAAUCCAAUGUUUGUUGGAUUGGACUUGAGCCUAUCCCAGACCCGAGGCUUUUUUUUGGCCUUAGUCUUUUUGGGUAGCUUAAAAUGAAAGGUGCCAAGCUUACCAGUUACUUUAAACAUGGUCGAUCUGGCUAAUGCGUAUUGAUUAGUCCCUGUGGACUAUUACUUCGCUUACGCCAUAGAGAUUAUGGAUUGGUUUGGCUUUGCCUAUUGCAGGAUUUACUCAGAGUAUUAGACCCCAGUCUUCUCCCUCUGUGAUCUCGAUCUCAAAUCAAGUAGGACUACCCGCUGAACUUAA
RNAcentral lists this unclassified non-coding RNA (361 nucleotides) under uncultured fungus. Its description in RNAcentral is "partial contains 5.8S ribosomal RNA, internal transcribed spacer 2, and large subunit ribosomal RNA". Lineage: Eukaryota; Fungi. The record is from RNAcentral.